RNAcentral lists this ribosomal RNA (774 nucleotides) under uncultured Acidobacteriota bacterium. RNAcentral's name for it is "bacterial SSU rRNA". It matches the Rfam family "Bacterial small subunit ribosomal RNA", at positions 76 to 829 of the family's 1533-position model. The record is from RNAcentral. Lineage: Bacteria; Pseudomonadati; Acidobacteriota.
CCCGCAAGGGGUUGUUAGCGUGGCAAACGGGUGAGUAACGCGUGGGCGACCUACCUCAGAGUGGGGGAUAACCUUCCGAAAGGGAGGCUAAUACCGCAUGAAAUGUCGUGUUUAGAUACAUGGACAUCAAAGCCGGGGAUCGCAAGACCUGGCGCUUGGAGAGGGGCCUACGUCCGAUUAGCUAGUUGGUGGGGUAAUGGCUCACCAAGGCGACGAUCGGUAUCCGGCCUGAGAGGGCGGACGGACACACUGGGACUGAGACACGGCCCAGACUCCUACGGGAGGCAGCAGUAGGGAAUUGUUCGCAAUGGGCGCAAGCCUGACGACGCAACGCCGCGUGGAGGAUGAAGACCUUCGGGUCGUAAACUCCUUUCGACCGAGAUGAACACCUGUCGACUUAAUACGUUGACAGGCUGACAGUACCGAGGGAAGAAGCCCCGGCUAACUCCGUGCCAGCAGCCGCGGUAAUACGGGGGGGGCAAGCGUUGUUCGGAAUUACUGGGCGUAAAGGGUUCGUAGGUGGCCAACUAAGUCAGACGUGAAAUCCCUCAGCUUGACUGGGGAACUGCGUCUGAUACUGGUUGGCUUGAGUGCAGGAGAGGAACGCGGAAUUCCAGGUGUAGCGGUGAAAUGCGUAGAUAUCUGGAGGAACACCGGUGGCGAAGGCGGCGUUCUGGACUGCAACUGACACUGAGGAACGAAAGCCAGGGGAGCAAACGGGAUUAGAUACCCCGGUAGUCCUGGCCCUAAACGAUGAAUGCUUGGUGUGGCGGG